GGGGAAAUGGGUAGAGAUCUGAAGGAAAUAACCGGGGGGCGAAGGGGGCCCCCCUGGACAGAUACUGACACUCAGAUGCGAAAGCGUGGGGAGCAAACAGGAUUAGAUACCCUGGUAGUCCACGCCGUAAACGAUGCCUACUUGGAGGUUGUGGCCUUGAGCCGUGGCUUUCGGAGCUAACGCGUUAAGUAGACCGCCUGGGGAGUACGGUCGCAAGAUUAAAACUCAAAUGAAUUGACGGGGGCCCGCACAAGCGGUGGAGCAUGUGGUUUAAUUCGAUGCAACGCGAAGAACCUUACCUACUCUUGACAUCUACAGAAGCCAGCGGAGACGCAGGUGUGCCUUCGGGAACUGUAAGACAGGUGCUGCAUGGCUGUCGUCAGCUCGUGUUGUGAAAUGUUGGGUUAAGUCCCGCAACGAGCGCAACCCUUAUCCUUGUUUGCCAGCACUUCGGGUGGGAACUCCAGGGAGACUGCCGGUGAUAAACCGGAGGAAGGUGGGGACGACGUCAAGUCAUCAUGGCCCUUACGAGUAGGGCUACACACGUGCUACAAUGGCGCAUACAGAGGGCGGCCAACUUGCGAAAGUGAGCGAAUCCCAAAAAGUGCGUCGUAGUCCGGAUUGGAGUCUGCAACUCGACUCCAUGAAGUCGGAAUCGCUAGUAAUCGUGGAUCAGAAUGCCACGGUGAAUACGUUCCCGGGCCUUGUACACACCGCCCGUCACACCAUGGGAGUGGGCUGCAAAAGAAGUGGGUAGUUUAACCUUCGGGAGGACGCUCACCACUUUGUGGUUCAUGACUGGGGUGAAGUCGUAACAAGGUAACCG
This 826-nucleotide ribosomal RNA is filed under the name uncultured bacterium. Its description in RNAcentral is "bacterial SSU rRNA". It matches the Rfam family "Bacterial small subunit ribosomal RNA", at positions 680 to 1502 of the family's 1533-position model. The record is from RNAcentral.